Strigops habroptila (Kakapo) is the source of this 909-nucleotide long non-coding RNA. RefSeq lists it as uncharacterized. The transcript is spliced from 4 exons. The record is from RefSeq and is a predicted model, not a curated record. NCBI's taxonomy places the organism in Eukaryota, Metazoa, Chordata, Aves, Psittaciformes, Psittacidae.
GGGGCGGUGGGGCGGGGCGCGGUGCCCGUUAGCGGACGGGGCUUGGUGUUGGGGGCCCCACGGCGCGGGGCGUGCUGGGCCCGGGCACUCGGAUGGCGGGACACAGCGGCUGAGGCUGAGCCCUCUUACCUCCAGGAAGUGAGGAGAUGGCUGCUCCUUGCCAAGACAGCGCGGUCAGGUUGCUGGCACACACUGGGCAGGCAAGGAGGUUGUGUCCAAGGUUGGCAGGAGUGAUGCUUCUUCAAGUGCAUGUGGCAUUUCAAGUCAGUCACCACUUGAGAAAGUCACAGGAAAGGAGAGCAGGGCAGCAGAUGAAAUGUUUGCAAGGAAAGCAGAAUGAUAUGCAAAGAUGAGAUUAAGCAGAUGUUUCAGGUCUACAUUACAAUUCAGACAGAAAUCUAAAUCAGCUGAAGACAUCAGAACAAAAUGCGUUGUAAGUGUUUCUGUGCUAUCAAUUACUCAAGGAAUAUUUACAGGAUGCGUGACACCAUAACAAAGAACUGCUUAGCAGAAUCCAAUUAAAAUCCAGAUCUCACCCAGGCACCCUUGGGAGAUUUCCCUUCUUUCAGCUGUGCCAGCACACUGCUACUUCAUCAGCCCAGUCCUGCGCUCUGAGGGGAUGGCAAUAACAUAAUGUGAAGGGAAAAAAAACUUGUUUGCCAGCCUGGUGGAAGAUGGAUGGAUGGGACCUCCCUAUUGUGCCCCAGGAGGUGCUCUGCAGGGCAAGGUAGAGGGAGUGUGAGCAAAGUGUCUCCAUGCACCGCGACAUGGGAUAACGCUGCAGUGGGUGGUGUCACUUUUGACUCCCGGGGACGAUUCGGAUUUAUUGGCCAGUGUUAGAGCCCGACCGACCCCGGGGUAUAAUAAAGGUGCUUGGCCGCUGCCGGAUGCCUCGCGGCCCGCCCGAAA